AGAGUUCAGUAUCUCAUUGAACAAUUUUGGGGUCGUUGGAAAAGGGAGUAUCUGCUCAACAUAUCCAUAAGACAAAAAUGGCACUUACCUCAACGCAAUCUCAAAGUCAAUGACAUUGUCAUUAUUAAAGAUGACAACCGCCCAAGAAAUCAUUGGCAACUAGGACGGGUAGUGGAAACUGUUCAAGAAAGUGACGGCUUGGUACGCCGAGUCAAAGUCCAAGUAGGAGAACGAAAGCCUCACAGAAAACAAGAUCCUCACUCUAAACCUUCAGUUAUUGAGAGGCCUAUACAAAAAUUAGUACUUCUCCUUGAGAAUUAAUUGAAGCAGACACUGCUUGAUUGAUUGUGAUAUACAGUUCACCUGUAUACUUCUGAUCACUUCUGUCAUUUAUUAGAGUCAAGAAAUCCUGUACAAUUCAUCUAGUUUUGUUUAUGUAUUAUUUUAUUCAUUGUAGCAGGAUUUGGUGGGAGUGUAAAUGACAGCUGAAUAUUUUAUUUAUUUAUUUAUUUUUCUUUGGUAAAUGAUGCAGUUCUACCACUCUACAUUUUGGGCUUUUAUUUUGAAGAGCUCCGCUCUUAUUCUACUACCUCCUGUUAUUAAUGACGCUAAACCUUCUGUUCGAGUUCUCACCAUAAUGCUGUGCACGUUGCUCCAGAAACGACUGUCACUGAGAGGUGUGUGGAAGAUAGGCUGUUGGCAGACAAAGCUCAAACUUAGCGCCCUUGGAAGCAGAAGGAGGUAUGAAGAGACAAAUUGUGCAUUAAUUCAAAUGAGUGAUUUAUUUCAUUUAAGACAAAGAGAAAUGGUUAUUAUUAUUUUAUUUUCAGUAGGAACUGUAACUCAUAAUAACUUAAAAGGUUAAAUUCAUGUGGAAGUUUGCUAAGAAUUACUAAUUUAAAAGUUUAAAUACUGUUCUAUUCAUUAUCUGUGAAAUAUGGUACUAUGGCAUUUGUGUUUUGUAUCUGUUAUGUAGUUUUCACGGUGUCAAAACGUCUGUGGUGAGAAGAGGAGAGAAAUAAAGUUGCACCAGUAGAAGCUCCGA
Molecule: long non-coding RNA, 1045 nt
Organism: Astyanax mexicanus (Mexican tetra)
Lineage: Eukaryota; Metazoa; Chordata; Actinopteri; Characiformes; Acestrorhamphidae
Exons: 2
Source: RefSeq, a predicted model, not a curated record